UACGGAGGGAGCUAGCGUUGUUCGGAAUUACUGGGCGUAAAGCGCACGUAGGCGGCUUUGUAAGUUAGAGGUGAAAGCCUGGGGCUCAACUCCAGAAUUGCCUUUAAGACUGCAUCGCUUGAAUCAUGGAGAGGCGAGUGGAAUUCCGAGUGUAGAGGUGAAAUUCGUAGAUAUCGGGAGGAACAUCAGUGGCGAAGGCGGCUACCUGGCCCAAUACUGACACUCAGGUGCGACAGCGUGGGGAGCAAACAGG
This 253-nucleotide ribosomal RNA is filed under the name uncultured bacterium. RNAcentral's name for it is "partial 16S ribosomal RNA". It matches the Rfam family "Bacterial small subunit ribosomal RNA", at positions 524 to 776 of the family's 1533-position model. The record is from RNAcentral.